Molecule: ribosomal RNA, 398 nt
Filed under: Orthognathotermes sp. ACMCC-2017
Lineage: Eukaryota; Metazoa; Arthropoda; Insecta; Blattodea; Termitidae
Description: partial 16S ribosomal RNA
Source: RNAcentral
CAAAAACAUCUUUUCUUGUUAGUUUUUGAAGUAUGGCCUGCCCACUGACUGUGUGUUGAAGGGCCGCGGUAUUUUGACCGUGCAAAGGUAGCCUAAUCAUUAGUUCUUUAAUUGUGAUCUGGUAUGAAUGGCUUGACGAGAUAUAGGCUGUCUUGGUGGAAUUAGGUUUAUUGAAUUUGGCGUUUGAGUUAAAAUUCUUAAAUGUUUUUAUGGGACGAGAAGACCCUAUAGAGUUUUACGUUUAUUUUGCUUAUUUUGUGUUUGUUUGUAUUAUGUUGUAAUGAUGUGGCGUUUUGUUGGGGUGAUGAGAGGAAUUUUUUCAACUCCUCUUUGGCUUUAGUAUAUUUAUGUAUAUAUAUUUUGAUCCAUUUAUUGUGAUUAUAAGAUUAAAUUACCUU